Molecule: small RNA, 497 nt
Filed under: Malus domestica (apple)
Lineage: Eukaryota; Viridiplantae; Streptophyta; Magnoliopsida; Rosales; Rosaceae
Description: sRNA MD15G0001400
Source: RNAcentral
UCGCAUAUAUGAUAAUGGUUAUGAUGGGGAUCAAGUAUAAUAUGUGUGUAGAGAUUCUUCUUUUAAUUACUAUGUGUGUAACAGCUUUGUUCAGUUAGCUAUCUAAUUGUUGAUUAUCAGUUAGGGUUUUGAGGAUCCAAAUACAAUUCUUUGUAGGUUUAAUUUGUCAAGAGUUUUGCUUUCUUUUUAAUGAAAGAAUAAGAAUUUCUUUGUUUUGAUGCUUCCUGUGUUUAUUGCUUAGUUUGCAGUUAUUUUUUCUUUGGUUUUCAUCUACUUAUUGUUUUAGGGAUUGGGGAUUGGGCUAGCACUCUUCUCCACAGUUUCAAGUUUCUAUUUGCACAAAGAACUUUCAUACAGGGUAUAAGUUCUUCAGGUGUGUGCUCUGAUGUUUCUCGAAUUUAGAUUUCUCAAAUCGCUAUUGUUUAUUAGAUUUUCUUUCGAUCUGAUUCCAAUUGAGUUCGAUUUCGAACUUUAAUUUAUAUUCGAUUUUGAUUUGC